UACAGAGGUUCCGAGCGUUGUUCGGAUUCACUGGGCGUAAAGGGUGCGUAGGUGGUGAGGUAAGUCGGAUGUGAAAUCUCCAAGCUCAACUUGGAAAUGGCAUUGGAAACUACCUUGCUGGAGGAUUGGAGGGGGGACUGGAAUUCUCGGUGUAGCAGUGAAAUGCGUAGAUAUCGAGAGGAACACCAGUGGCGAAGGCGAGUCCCUGGACAAAACCUGACACUGAGGCACGAAAGCUAGGGGAGCGAAUGGG
This 253-nucleotide ribosomal RNA is filed under the name uncultured bacterium. RNAcentral's name for it is "partial 16S ribosomal RNA". It matches the Rfam family "Bacterial small subunit ribosomal RNA", at positions 524 to 776 of the family's 1533-position model. The record is from RNAcentral.